Molecule: non-coding RNA, 113 nt
Organism: Acanthosepion pharaonis
Lineage: Eukaryota; Metazoa; Mollusca; Cephalopoda; Sepiida; Sepiidae
Source: the annotation of a GenBank genome assembly
UACAGCCAUAUCAUGUUGAAACACUGGUUCCUUUAUAAUCACUGAAGUUAAGCAACAUUGAGCCAGGCCAGUACCUAGAAGGGCAACUGCUUGGGAAUACCAGGUACUGUAAG